UACGUAGGGGGCGAGCGUUGUCCGGAAUCAUUGGGCGUAAAGCGCGUGUAGGCGGCUCGGUAAGUCCGGUGUGAAACCUUGGGGCUCAACCCCAAGCCUGCACUGGAUACUGUCGAGCUUGAGUCCGGGAGGGGAGAGCGGAAUUCCUAGUGUAGCGGUGAAAUGCGCAGAUAUUAGGAAGAACACCGGUGGCGAAGGCGGCUCUCUGGAACGGUACUGACGCUGAGACGCGAAAGCGUGGGGAGCGAACCGG
RNAcentral lists this ribosomal RNA (253 nucleotides) under uncultured bacterium. RNAcentral describes it as "partial 16S ribosomal RNA". It matches the Rfam family "Bacterial small subunit ribosomal RNA", at positions 524 to 776 of the family's 1533-position model. The record is from RNAcentral.